AAGUGGUGGCAGGGUAGCCUAGUGGUUAGAGUGUAGAGGCGGCAGGGUAGCCUAGUGGUUAGAAUGUAGAGGCGGCAGGGUAGCCUAGUGGUUAGAGUGUAGUGGCGGCAGGGUAGCCUAGUGGUUAGAGUGUAGUGGCGGCAGGGUAGCCUAGUGGUUAGAGUGUAGAGGUGGCAGGGUAGCCUAGUGGUUAGAGUGUAGGGGCGGCAGGGUAGCCUAGUGGUUAGAGUGUAGGGGCGGCAGGGUAGCCUAGUGGUUAGAAUGUAGGGGCGGCAGGGUAGCCUAGUGGUUAGAGUAUAGGGCGGCAGGGUAGCCUAGUGGUUAGAAUGUAGGGGCGGCAGGGUAGCCUAGUGGUUAGAGUAUAGGGGCGGCAGGGUAGCCUAGUGGUUAGAAUGUAGGGGCGGCAGGGUAGCCUAGUGGUUAGAGUGUAGUGGCGGCAGGGUAGCCUAGUGGUUAGAGUGUAGAGGCGGCAGGGUAGCCUAGUGGUUAGAAUGUAGAGGCGGCAGGGUAGCCUAGUGGUUAGAGUGUAGGGGCGGCAGGGUAGCCUAGUGGUUAGAGUGUAGGGGCGGCAGGGUAGCCUAGUGGUUAGAGUGUAGGGGCGGCAGGGUAGCCUAGUGGUUAGAGUGUAGGGGCGGCAGGGUAGCCUAGUGGUUAGAGUGUAGGGGCGGCAGGGUACCCUAGUGGUUAGAGUGUAGGGGCGGCAGGGUAGCCUAGUGGUUAGAGUGUAGGGGCGGCAGGGUAGCCUAGUGGUUAGAGUGUAGGGGCGGCAGGGUAGCCUAGUGGUUAGAGUGUAGGGGCGGCAGGGUAGCUUAGUGGUUAGAGUGUUGGG
Molecule: long non-coding RNA, 829 nt
Organism: Oncorhynchus tshawytscha (Chinook salmon)
Lineage: Eukaryota; Metazoa; Chordata; Actinopteri; Salmoniformes; Salmonidae
Source: Ensembl